GUGGGGAAUAUUGGACAAUGGGCGAAAGCCUGAUCCAGCCAUGCCGCGUGUGUGAAGAAGUUCUUCGGACUGUAAAGCACUUUAUGUUGUGAGGAUGGGUAGUAAGUUUAUACCUUGCUGUUUUGACGUUACCGACAGAAUAAGCACCGGCUAACUUCGUGCCAGCAGCCGCGGUAAUACGAAGGGUGCAAUCGUUAAUCGGAAUUACUGGGCGUAAAGCGCGCGUAGGUGGUUUUGUAAGUUGGAGGUGAAAUCCCCGGGCUCAACCUGAGAACUGCGUCCAAAACUGCAUGACUAGAGUACGGUAGAGAGGAGUGGAAUUUCCUGUGUAGGGGUGAAAUGCGUAGAUAUAGGAAGGAACACCAGUGGCGAAGGCGACUACCUGGACUGAUACUGACACUGAGGUGCGAAAGCGUGGGGAGCAAACAGGAUUAGAUACCCCGGUAGUCC
Molecule: ribosomal RNA, 450 nt
Filed under: uncultured bacterium
Lineage: Bacteria
Description: bacterial SSU rRNA
Rfam family: Bacterial small subunit ribosomal RNA
Source: RNAcentral